GAUGAACGCUGACAGAAUGCUUAACACAUGCAAGUCAACUUGAAUUUGGGUUUUUAACUUAGAUUUGGGUGGCGGACGGGUGAGUAACGCGUAAAGAACUUGCCUCACAGCUAGGGACAACAUUUAGAAAUGAAUGCUAAUACCUGAUAUUAUGAUUUUAAGGCAUCUUAGAAUUAUGAAAGCUAUAAGCACUGUGAGAGAGCUUUGCGUCCCAUUAGCUAGUUGGAGAGGUAACGGCUCACCAAGGCGAUGAUGGGUAGCCGGCCUGAGAGGGUGAUCGGCCACAAGGGGACUGAGACACGGCCCUUACUCCUACGGGAGGCAGCAGUGGGGAAUAUUGGACAAUGGACCAAGAGUCUGAUCCAGCAAUUCUGUGUGCACGAUGAAGUUUUUCGGAAUGUAAAGUGCUUUCAGUUGGGAAGAAAAAAAUGACGGUACCAACAGAAGAAGUGACGGCUAAAUACGUGCCAGCAGCCGCGGUAAUACGUAUGUCACGAGCGUUAUCCGGAUUUAUUGGGCGUAAAGCGCGUCUAGGUGGUUAUAUAAGUCUGAUGUGAAAAUGCAGGGCUCAACUCUGUAUUGCGUUGGAAACUGUAUAACUAGAGUACUGGAGAGGUAAGCGGAACUACAAGUGUAGAGGUGAAAUUCGUAGAUAUUUGUAGGAAUGCCGAUGGGGAAGCCAGCUUACUGGACAGAUACUGACGCUGAAGCGCGAAAGCGUGGGUAGCAAACAGG
RNAcentral lists this ribosomal RNA (735 nucleotides) under uncultured Fusobacterium sp. RNAcentral's name for it is "bacterial SSU rRNA". It matches the Rfam family "Bacterial small subunit ribosomal RNA", at positions 28 to 776 of the family's 1533-position model. The record is from RNAcentral. Lineage: Bacteria; Fusobacteriati; Fusobacteriota; Fusobacteriia; Fusobacteriales; Fusobacteriaceae.